RNAcentral lists this ribosomal RNA (478 nucleotides) under uncultured bacterium. RNAcentral's name for it is "bacterial SSU rRNA". It matches the Rfam family "Bacterial small subunit ribosomal RNA", at positions 28 to 514 of the family's 1533-position model. The record is from RNAcentral.
GAUGAACGCUGGCGGCGUGCCUAAUACAUGCAAGUCGAACGAGGUGCUUUUGUAGCAAUACGAGAGUAUCCUAGUGGCGAACGGGUGAGUAACGCGUUGGUGACCUACCCCAAAGUGUGGGAUAACAGUCCGAAAGGAUUGCUAAUACCGCAUGUGGUCUUCGGAUUUAGAAACUGAUGACUAAAGGAGCAAUUCGCUUUGGGAGGGACCUGCGUCCCAUCAGCUAGUUGGUGAGGUAAUGGCUCACCAAGGCUACGACGGGUAGGGGACCUGAGAGGGUGACCCCCCACAAUGGAACUGAAACACGGUCCAUACACCUACGGGUGGCAGCAGUAGGGAAUAUUGCACAAUGGGCGAAAGCCUGAUGCAGCAAACGCCGCGUGUGGCGAUGAAGGCCUUCGGUCGUAAAGCACUUUCUGGAGAUGAGCAAGGACAGUAUCUCCAGGAAUAAGUACUCGGCUAACUACGUAGCCAGCAG